GACGGUAAGAAUUUAUUCCUACAUUAACGUGUCUUUAAUAUUUGUACUAAGUUCUACUGUACACAAGUGAUAUAUUCUACAUGUAGCUUGAAGGAAGAAUAGAUACAUGUACUGUAAGUUCCCUUGGAUUCUGCAUGUAACGAGAGAGAGGCCAUAUAAAUCAUGAAGUGAAUAAAGAUGGAUAGAGGAGCGCAUGGAAAAGAGUUGGAGAUAAGACCCAAACGGGCACCUAUGUUGUAUGGGGAAAUUGCUAAACGAAAAGCGUCCAAACACGACCUUACAAAGGAAAAGGUUCAAGAGUUGUUUGAUGCGUUCACGAUGUUCGAUAAGAAUGGAGAACAAAACUAUCACGGCGGAUGAA
Long non-coding RNA from Saccostrea cuccullata (small rock oyster), 361 nucleotides. RefSeq lists it as uncharacterized. The transcript is spliced from 4 exons. Lineage: Eukaryota; Metazoa; Mollusca; Bivalvia; Ostreida; Ostreidae. The record is from RefSeq and is a predicted model, not a curated record.